RNAcentral lists this long non-coding RNA (4453 nucleotides) under Homo sapiens (human). RNAcentral describes it as "HSALNT0150271". Lineage: Eukaryota; Metazoa; Chordata; Mammalia; Primates; Hominidae. The record is from RNAcentral.
GUUAAAGGUGUGGCACUUCCCGCUUCUCUCUCUCUCUCUCUUUCCUGCUCCGCCGCGGUGAGACGUACUUGCUUCUCCUCACCUUCUACCGUGAUUCUGGACUAGACAGAAGACUACAGUUCAAUAAGAAGGAAACACAUUCAUUUUCAGUAUUGUUAAUAAAGAAGCUUACCUAAAAGAAGGAAAUCAAAACAAGAUAAUCUACACUGCAACUAGGGGAGGCUAUUGAAUGUGAUGGUCCCCUCAGAUGCCUAGAGGAAGAUGAACAAUGGUAAUCAGAUAUCCUAAAGUUAUCUUUAGGGCACUGGCAAAAUAGCAGCAAUGCCUGGUGGAAGCUGACUUUGUGCAUACACAUGAGAGCCCACAGAAAACUUCAAACUUCAUGGAAAUAAAACCUUCAGCUGCAGCUAAGAAUUUGGAGGUUACUGAAGGAGGUUACUUUUUCAAGAGCAGAAGUAAGGAUUCCACUGAAUUUGCUCACCAAAGAUAAGUCAGCAAAGAAAACUUACUGAAGAAUACAGGAACAUAAAUCUUAAGCAGGCUUACAUAAGGAAGGGAAGUGGUUGAAUCUGAGGUAAUUCCAUGGUGGACUUUGAAGAAAGCCUUCCAUGAGUUCCCAGUCCAUAUCCUCCAAAAGUUAGAAUUUCUUUCAGCCAAUGAAGAAUUCUAUUGAGAAGCAUGAAUCUGUAAUUUUGCAUAUUCCAGAAUAGUUAUGAUCUAAACAUUACAUCCUGCUGUAUCCCUAAGUACUUGAAAUCUGGAUAUUCCAGUUUCAACAACGAGAUCUUAAAAUUACAGCAUAUCAGCUCCUGCUUUCCAGACAAACUUCCUGGGUCUUGGGAAGAAGAAAGCCUCAGACUAAGAACUCUCUCUGGACUCAGACAGCCUGAAUUCAAAUCCCAUCUCUAUUCUUACUAGUCAUAUGAACACAGGAGAACCAUAUCCAUUCAGCUCACUUUGGACCACCUGUGGAGCCUGAUAACCAGGGAACAGAGAACCUGUUGAGAUCCAAAUUUGUGUGCCAGAUCACAAACUCAUCUGAAGCAGAUGCCACGUGUUACACUGUUAUGUCUCUCAGAGACUCCAGCACUUUGAAAGUAUUAGGCCUUGCUUAUUGAGAUGAAUAUUUUUUUCUAGGCAUGUCCCAAAGUUCUCAGCAUAGCUACAACCCUGAUUUUCACAGGAUUUUCAUUAAAAUUAGGUUCUAGAGCAUUACUUCCCUAAUGUGCAAUGCAACUUACGUUUAGUUUUCAAAUCAAAAUUAGUUUUGUUUUUCCACUGUCUUUGUCUUUGAAAAUAUUGAACUUGGGAUUUCCAAAAUUAUAAUUAGCAAUUAUUUUUACAUAUCUUUUAUAUACAUAACUUUUACAAUGGCUGCCAUUAUCAUGUAGGUUCUUAGGAAGUGUUUCUGAUCCUUGUAAAUAAAAGUGAAAGAAGAAAUCUUUACUGCUUGCUGACCCAUGUGACUAACCUUGAAAUCAGAGAGGCAGAUUCAUUUAAAACAAACUUGCAAACUGUUAAGCAAAGUACUGAAUCUCUGUGACUUGACCAAAAGUAAUUCAGACUUGACUAUUCCAGGCUCCCUUCUAUCUCUGUAGCAACCCAUGCAUCAUAGACUCCAGUUGCAAUGGAUGGUCAAGGAAUCUGCUGUGCCUUUUGAGUCUCUCCAUUUUAUAUUGCCAAAUUUAUCUUCCUUUAAUACUUCACUUCACAUAAGACACUAAGAUAAACAAGGAUGCAACUCACUUAUAUUUCAAAAUAGUACCUAGUGGUUAAAAGUACUUGUUCUGAAAGCAACUCUAUUUUUCUAGUUCUAACAUGUCUCCAACUAGUUAUCUCACCUUGAGCUUGGCACAUAAUCACUCCAUCUUACUUUUGCAUCUGUGACACAAGAAAAAUACCACCCACCUCAACAUAGAUCUUAUGAAGAUUAAAAUAAGAUUAUGAAAGUAAAAUGCUCAGCACAAUGUCUAAACGAAAAUAAAUGCUCAGCAAGUAGGAGCUACUAUAAUUAUUAUCCAGAUCAAAUAUUUUCUCCUCUAUGAAGCUUUCUUAUUCUUCCCCAGCUGGAAUUACUUAUUUUCUUCCUUGCUUUCUACACCACACUUUAGUCACCACCAUGCUGGCACUUGUCUCACCGCAUUAUAAUUAUUUAUGUGCCUGUGUUCCAUAACCAGAAUAUGGGACUUAAGCUUCUUUAUACCUCCAGCAUAAUUGUUUCAUGUGUGCUUUUAGGUAAUGGAGUAAAAUGGAUGAAUGAGUGAAUGCGACUAUAGUACUAAAUGCUCUUAGAUAAAGAUGUAAUUAUUCUUAAGUGAUAAAAUUAUUCGAACAUGAGUAGUUCAGAUAAUGAGAGACUGUCAUAGAAUUACUUGAUAAAAUCUAGUCAAUAAAAUGGCUUGGCAAUAUAACCUUUAUGAUUUCUUUAAACAAUCAUUCAUUUCUUUCUGAAGAUGAGAAGAGGAGAUUCCUUCUCCCAUCUUUAUAUUUCAACAAUGAUUAGAAAACAAAUUGAUCUCUGGGAUCAGUGCCCAAUACCAUUAAAGUGGUAUACAUCUUACAAUUCUUAAUUAAUUUGUGGCAUACAUAUACCAGUCUCCACAGCCAGCUUCAUCUGCAUACAGCAGCAUAAUCACUUUUUUCCUUAUAGUAAAGACAUAUUAUGAGUCAUCAAAGUCUUCUCCGGGGGUUGUGGUUAUCAUCUGGUAAUCACACCCUUGGGAGGUUAAAAACACUUAUCUUUGGAUCAUGACUUGCAAUGCCCCAGGGGUGUGAUUAUCUCAGGCAACUCACACUUUCUGUCAUGCCUAAUUGCUUAAUUAUUAUAGCUGCAAGUUCACACCACCAUACAGGAACUCAUGUUGUGUCAGCAUUUCCACUAUAAAUUCCUUUUUCAAGAGUCUAUAACUCAGCCAUAAAAAAAAAAAAAAAAAAAACCUAUGGUCCAUUGAAGCACUGCAGUAAGAGUCUUAUUCCAGGAAACAUUUCUGUAAUAGGUUAAUUGUAUCUUAAAAAUUGGGUCCUGAUUCUCAUAGUUAGUUCACCAAAGAAAUAAAUGCUAAUUAAAUGUCUCUAAAUUAUAUAUUUUUCUGUAUGGCUGGGUAAAUAAUGUAAAUCCUAAAGACAUAAAUAUUAUUUUUUAAAUAUAACAAGAAUGGCUCAUACAAUUUCCAGUUUUUUGGAAAUACACUUACACAUAUUUAUAAAAUAUUAUAUAAGUAGAAUGAGCUAAACCAUAGUUAGAGAACAUUGUCAUAUGCAAUCAUGUACUACAUAAUAUUUCAGUCAGUGGACAGCAUGUGGCAGUGGUCACAUAAGAUUAUAACGCAGCUGAAAAAUUCCUGUUGUCUAAUGACAUCAUGGCUGUCAUAACUGUCAUGGCCGUCAUGGCCAUCUGAACAUUGUAGUACAAUGUAUUCCUCAUGUGUUUGUGGUGAUGCUGAUGUAAACAAGCAUCUGCACUGCCAGUUGUAUAAAAGUGUAGCACAUACAAUUAUGUACAUACAAUUAUGCACACACAAUUAUGUACAACACAUAAUAUUUUAUAAUGACAAUAAACAAUUUUGUUACCGGUUUAUGUAUUCACUGUACUAUACCUUUCAUCAUUAUUUUAGAGUGUACUCUUUCUACUUAUAUAUAAAAAAAAGUUAAUUGUAAAACAGCCUCUAGCAGGUCCUUCAGGACAUAUUCCAGAAGAAGGCAUUGUUAUCAUAGGAGAUGACGGUUCCAUGCGUGUUAUUGCCCCUGAAGACCUUCCAGUGGGUCAAGAUAUGGAGGUGAAAGACAGUGAUAUUGAUGAUCCUGACCCUGCGUAGGCCAAGUUUUCUUGACUUCACUUAAUCUGCUGGAAGCUGAUCCUUUUCAUGUCCAUGUUUAAGGAAGCGUUGAAGGUCACGUCACUCAAAGCCAACAUCAGCAGGCAUCCUACCAAGAUAAUCUCUGAAGAGGUCAGAGGCUAUGACGCCUGCAUUGAACUUUUUCUACUUUGAAGACUACUGUGAACUGAAUUGUAUCACACCCACCCUUUCCCAGAGUCCCCGAGAAUUCACAUGUUGAAGCCGUUACCCACCAUGUGACUGUUUUGGGAGACAGAGCCUUAAAAGAGGCACAAUUAUUACAAUUUAUUGUGGACAGGAAAACACAUGGAUGUUGAAUACCAGUUCCUGUGAAAGAUACUUGGGUUUCGGGAUAACAACAGUCCCAAGUCUUCAGAACAAAUCAACAGAAUUCAAUCAAGUAUUUCCUUGCACUUACUUGUUAUGACUUCUUAGUCUCUCCAGUCUGUGACAGUUACUCAUUUUCUCCCUGAUACAAGGACUACAACACUUUGGAAGGUGCUUGUCAGAAAUUUAUUCUCCUUAUAUACAUUCCUACACACAUGUGGAUGCUUUUAUUGAAACCAGUUCAUAGGUAUGUUUGUAUAAUCUUUAUACACAUAAAAUAUAUUUUUUUC